UACGGAGGGUGCGAGCGUUGUCCGGAAUCACUGGGCGUAAAGGGCGCGUAGGCGGCCUGAUAAGUAGGGGGUGAAAUCCCUCGGCUUAACCGAGGAACUGCCUGUCAAACUGCAUGGCUUGAGACCGGGAGAGGUGAGUGGAAUUCCCAGUGUAGCGGUGAAAUGCGUAGAUAUUGGGAGGAACACCAGUGGCGAAGGCGACUCACUGGACCGGUACUGACGCUGAUGCGCGAAAGCGUGGGGAGCAAACAGG
RNAcentral lists this ribosomal RNA (253 nucleotides) under uncultured bacterium. Its description in RNAcentral is "partial 16S ribosomal RNA". It matches the Rfam family "Bacterial small subunit ribosomal RNA", at positions 524 to 776 of the family's 1533-position model. The record is from RNAcentral.